Molecule: small nuclear RNA, 107 nt
Organism: Mobula hypostoma (lesser devil ray)
Lineage: Eukaryota; Metazoa; Chordata; Chondrichthyes; Myliobatiformes; Myliobatidae
Source: RefSeq, a predicted model, not a curated record
GUGCUAGCUUUAGCAGCAUAUAUACUAAAAUUUGAACGAUACAGAGAAGGUUAACAUAGCAUGGCAAAAGAGGUGACCUGCCAGUUGAAGAAGUGUUACCUAUUCCA